Molecule: ribosomal RNA, 405 nt
Filed under: uncultured bacterium
Lineage: Bacteria
Description: bacterial SSU rRNA
Rfam family: Bacterial small subunit ribosomal RNA
Source: RNAcentral
UGAGGAAUAUUGGGCAAUGGGCGGAAGCCUGACCCAGCAACGCCGCGUGGAGGAAGACGGCCUUCGGGUUGUAAACUUCUUUUUUGGGGGAAGAGCGAGGACGGUACCCCAAGAAUAAGUCACGGCUAACUACGUGCCAGCAGCCGCGGUAAUACGUAGGUGACGAGCGUUAUCCGGAAUUACUGGGCGUAAAGCGCACGCAGGCGGUGCGUUAAGUCUGACGUGAAAUCUCCUGGCUUAACUGGGAGGGGUCGUUGGAGACUGGCGUGCUUGAGGCGGUGAGAGGGGUGUAGAAUUCCCGGUGUAGUGGUGGAAUGCGUAGAUAUCGGGAGGAAUACCAGUGGCGAAAGCGACACCCUGGCACUGGCCUGACGCUCAGGUGCGAAGGCGUGGGGAGCGAACGGG